CUACGGGAUGCUCCAGUGGGGAAUAUUGCACAAUGGAGGAAACUCUGAUGCAGCAACGCCGCGUGGAGGAUGACACUUUUCGGAGCGUAAACUCCUUUUAUAUAGGAAGAAGAUGACGGUACUAUAUGAAUAAGCACCGGCUAAACUCCGUGCCAGCAGCCGCGGUAAUACGGAGGGCGCAAGCGUUACUCGGAAUCACUGGGCGUAAAGAGCGUGUAGGCGGAUUAAAAAGUCAGAAGUGAAAUCCUAUAGCUUAACUAUAGAACUGCUUCUGAAACUCUUAAUCUAGAAUAUGGGAGAGGUAGAUGGAAUUUCUGGUGUAGGGGUAAAAUCCGUAGAGAUCAGAAGGAAUACCGAUUGCGAAGGCGAUCUACUAGAACAUUAUUGACGCUGAGACGCGAAAGCGUGGGGAGCAAACAGGAUUAGAUACCCGCGUAGUC
RNAcentral lists this ribosomal RNA (440 nucleotides) under uncultured bacterium. RNAcentral describes it as "partial 16S ribosomal RNA". It matches the Rfam family "Bacterial small subunit ribosomal RNA", at positions 339 to 795 of the family's 1533-position model. The record is from RNAcentral.